AAAUUGAUCCUAGAUUUUAAUCGAAUGCAGGCUAAGUAAAUGCUUAUCUUGGAUUAUUCAAUAUGAAACAUUAAAAUUUCUUCAUCUUUGAAUAUAUUUUUGUUAGGCAGUAGAGCACUGUAUUUAGUUAGGAAUAGAAUUUGGGAAUCUGUAUUCCAUGAAUGCUAUUAAUAUUUUAGAUUGUAAUCUAAUAAAAUUUCAUCUUAUCCUAUUGCUUUUCUUAACCACCCCCCAGCAAUCAAGUACAUAGUCUUAACAUCUGAGGCUAAGAAAAAAGGAGUUCAUCUAUUGCACAAGUGUUUUUCAAUACAUUUUUUAAAACUUGGAGGAGAUGGUGGUGGGGGGUGGUGGUGCUUCAUGUAAUUUUAUAGGACCUCUGAGGCCCAGAGUUUUUAAGUAAUCUUUUUUGAUGUUUCUCUUCAUUUUUGUUUUUGUUUUUCUGCUACAAUGAUACUACCUGGAUUUAUAAUAUCUUUAUCCUAUUUAAAGCAUUACUGUAAAAUAUUUAUCGUAUGUUGAUAGUUUUUGGAGGUGGGGCCUUUGGGAGGUAAUUAGGCUUAGAUAAUGUAGUCAACAUUGGGCCCCUAUUAUGGUACUGGUUGUUUUAAGCCUACAAAAUGAAUCUUUAAAGCCAGUUUCAAGUGUACUUCAUUGUGAGUAAGAGAAGCUUCAGAAUCCAAUAUUAUCUCACCAGAAAGCCACGUCCUCAGAAAAUGCAGACAAUUUCAUUGGUUGUCAUUCUUUUAUCUUUAAGCCUUCAACUCAACUCAUGGACUUACUUAUUUCUGAGAACCCUUUACAAGUCACAGUAUCCUGUAAUCAUCUCACAAACUAAGUACAGUGUUUACGCAUCACUUCACAUUUCCAACCUGAAAUACUAAAUAUGGCAUAGCACUUGUGUUACACAGAAGCCCAAGAAUAAGAAAUAAAUAAUAUUUACAUUCCAAUAUUAGUUUGAACCAAUAACUAAGGUAAGGUCUUGGCUUGGCCUUAUUGAAAAUUAUUGUCCCUGCUAUGGAAGGAAAGGGUUUAGUCACUGAAAAACCUGCAGGACCUGGCUAAUAUAUAAUAUAUAAUGAGUUCAUAUUGGUUCUUCCAAGACAACUGUAGGGCUAGAGACCUUUUGUUUAUUCUCAAAUAGCUUAAAUCUGUAUCCACUUUCUUUCGUAUUAAGAAUCCUAGUUCCGAUGAGGAACAUUAGGAAACCUUCACUUGGCCCCUGUAAUUCUUUCUUAGCACCCUGUAUAUUUCCUUCACAGCACUUGCCACAAUUUGUGCCUUUAUAUUGUUUUAUUUAUUUAUUGAUGUAAUAUCUAUCUCCUUUCCUCCAACCUACUUGAAGGCAGGACCAUAUCUGUCUUAAUCAAGGCUUCUUCUAACACCAAGAGCUCUGGCAAGAUUAGAAAAUGUGCCCACUGAUGUCCCACCGACUGAGCAUAUUUUGCAGGGCACAAUCUGUUUCCCCAGAUCUUACGACAGGUCUUGACACCUAAGAGCAAUAUCUUAUUUGUUGAAUGAAAUCAUAAAAUAUAAUCGUCUUCUCUUCUGAGAUACUUUUCUUUCUGCCAAUUUGGAUUACAUAGUUCCCCCAGGUCUCAAGGCCUCAGUGAUCUUUUGCCUUAAGAAACUCUCAGAAAUGACAUUUGGGAAUUACUUGGAUAUUAGGUACCUAUGCUAUUCUUCUGUUGUAUGUCCUUUAAAUAGCUUUUUGUCUUUUUCCCAAAUUAUAUGAUUAUUUGUAUAUGUCCAAAAAAUUAAAGCUUAGAGCAACAUUGGUGGGAAAUGGGAACUUAUAACCAUGUUAGUACUGAAAUAGUAGCAAAGGCAGAUUGCUGCAGUGGAGGGUGCCUGUAAUCCCAGCUACUUGGAAGGCUGAAGUGGAAGAAUUGCUUGAGCCCAGGAGUCUGAGGCUGCAGUAAA
RNAcentral lists this long non-coding RNA (1920 nucleotides) under Homo sapiens (human). RNAcentral describes it as "non-protein coding lnc-ETNK1-12:1". The record is from RNAcentral. Lineage: Eukaryota; Metazoa; Chordata; Mammalia; Primates; Hominidae.